Molecule: small RNA, 106 nt
Filed under: Escherichia coli
Lineage: Bacteria; Pseudomonadati; Pseudomonadota; Gammaproteobacteria; Enterobacterales; Enterobacteriaceae
Description: partial RtT sRNA
Rfam family: RtT RNA
About the family: This family represents a bacterial cis-regulatory element known as RtT RNA. The exact function of RtT is unknown although it is thought that it may be involved in changing the cellular response in relation to amino acid starvation.
Source: RNAcentral
UCAGCGAGAGAGCGUCAGCGAGAGAGCGUCAGCGAGAGAGCGUUGCCGCAGGCAACGACCCGAAGGGCGAAGCGCGCAGCGCUGAGUAAUCCUUCCCCCACCACCA